UGCCAGACUCCUACGGGAGGCAGCAGUGGGGAAUAUUGGACAAUGGGGGGAACCCUGAUCCAGCGACGCCGCGUGAGUGAAGAAGUAUUUCGGUAUGUAAAGCUCUAUCAGCAGGGAAGAAAGAAAUGACGGUACCUGACUAAGAAGCCCCGGCUAACUACGUGCCAGCAGCCGCGGUAAUACGUAGGGGGCAAGCGUUAUCCGGAUUUACUGGGUGUAAAGGGAGCGUAGACGGCCAGACAAGUCAGAAGUGAAAGCCCAGGGCUCAACCCUGGGACUGCUUUUGAAACUGCCGGGCUGGAGUGCAGGAGAGGUAAGCGGAAUUCCUAGUGUAGCGGUGAAAUGCGUAGAUAUUAGGAGGAACACCAGUGGCGAAGGCGGCUUACUGGACUGUAACUGACGUUGAGGCUCGAAAGCGUGGGGAGCAAACAGGAUUAGAUCCCCCAGUA
This 449-nucleotide ribosomal RNA is filed under the name uncultured bacterium. RNAcentral's name for it is "bacterial SSU rRNA". It matches the Rfam family "Bacterial small subunit ribosomal RNA", at positions 329 to 792 of the family's 1533-position model. The record is from RNAcentral.